This 508-nucleotide ribosomal RNA is filed under the name uncultured bacterium. Its description in RNAcentral is "partial 16S ribosomal RNA". The stretch from base 20 to 332 matches the Rfam family "Bacterial small subunit ribosomal RNA", at positions 47 to 358 of the family's 1533-position model. The record is from RNAcentral.
GACGAACGCUGGCGGCGUGCUUAACACAUGCAAGUCGAACGGAAAGGCCCUGCUUUUGUGGGGUGCUCGAGUGGCGAACGGGUGAGUAACACGUGAGUAACCUGCCCUUGACUUUGGGAUAACUUCAGGAAACUGGGGCUAAUACCGGAUAGGAGCUCCUGCUGCAUGGUGGGGGUUGGAAAGUUUCGGCGGUUGGGGAUGGACUCGCGGCUUAUCAGCUUGUUGGUGGGGUAGUGGCUUACCAAGGCUUUGACGGGUAGCCGGCCUGAGAGGGUGACCGGAGAGAUGGGGGGUGGGCGGCGGCAAAGAGGCGUGCGGGAGGCAGGAGGGGGGGAUAUUGCAGGAGGGGGGGAGGCAGGAGGCGGGGGGGCGGCGGGCGGGAGGGGGGUUGGGGGGUGGCCACCCGGUCGGGUAGGGGAGGAAGGGUGGGGGGGUGGAGGGGGAAAAGAAGCCCGGGGUAAGUACGUGAGAGCAGGCGAGGUAAUAAUCGGAAGAUAGACGUCUGCGC